CACAACACCUUAGUGAUUCCAGUUGUGAAAGCUUUCAACAAUAUCACUUGGCUUCCUUGCAUUGUAGUUUUUAAAGAGCAGCUUUUUCAGCUAGGGAAAUUUGCAGAGGGAUAUGGACACAACAAGAAAUGAACUUGGAAUGGUUGCACGCGUGCAGCAGAAGACUGUUUGAUUCACGAACCCUUUUUGCCAGCUUAUGCAGGGACGGGAUACACAUUAUCCCCUUUUGCAUUGGUCCCUACAUCGGUAGUGGCUUCAUUCAGUUUUCAUAGUUUAUCGUCUAAGCUGGGAAAAAGCGGGAGUUAACUUCUCCCCCCCCCCCCACCAUCCCCAUACCUUUACACAUCCCUCUGUUCUUUCCCCAAGCUCCCAGUUCCUCUACCAGGGGUAAGCUGUGUUUACAGCAGAAUAAAGACUGAAUGGAAACAGUUCCUCAUGACCCUGUGAUCCCCGAUCCAAGUUAUCCCCUCUGACUACUGUCAGAAGCCCCCAGGAGAUCUCCUGUGAUUCUCCUGACAUCUCUGCCUAAUCCCUCAUGAAAUGUCUGCAAUAGAUUUUUUUUGGGGGGGGGGGGACCGCAAGAGGGUUCUCCUUUUUCAUCCUGAUUUCUUUUCAUGCCAAGCUCUGUCGGAAUGCUUCUGUCUCAUGCUGAUGGCAUCCUUCUGUCUUAGAAUCUGCUGCAGUGUCUUCAGUUUGUCCUCUAGGGGUGGCCAACCUAUGGCACUCCAGAUGUUCAUGGACUACAAUCCCAUCAGCUCCACCAGCAUAGCCAAUGAGCCAGGCUGGCAGUGGCUGAUGGGAAUUGUAGUCUAUGAACAUCUGGAGUGCCAUAGGUUGCCCACCCCAGGCCCUUCUCCACAAGUUUUAAGUAGCAUGUCUGGUCGGAAAGCAGAUCCCUUUUCUUUUUCUUUUAUUUUGUUUUUUAGUAGAAAGAGUAAAAUCCUGAAACCUCACACACUGGGACUUUCAAGUAGAUGGUUUUCAGGAUUUUGUCUCCCUGCUUAUUUAACUUAGCCAACUAGUAUAGCAAUGAUUAAAAAUCUAACUAUGGAUUUAAAUAUUGGAUUAAAUUUUUUUGUACAAAGUAGGUGUUAAGUUUUUGAAGGAUGUAAUCAAGUAAAAACUGAUCUGUUCUCAGAAAUAAAUUGUUUUUACAACUUUCUGUUUCUUUAAAACCAUGCAUUUCUGUCCAAUUGAACCAGUUAAUUUUGUUACAGGAAUAAAUGCAAUAUCCAAGGGGGAAAGUGACAGUGACUUUGUUUUAUUUGCCUUGGGAAAUUCGGUGGUGCAGGAUUAAAGAACUUCCAGUGAAACCUUUACAAUCACUGGGAGCCAAUCAAAAGUGAUGAAUGGCAGAAAUGUCAAAGCUACAGGCAUGAGAAAAUAACCAGAUCUCACAUCUCGAGAGGAAAAGUGGACAAUCAGCUAGUAUAAUGCAACAGUCUAAGCAAAAUCAUUCAGUAAACAUUACAGCAUGCAAGCAGCAUUUGAUGAGACCCAAGCACAAAAAUAUAUUUCCUGCAAUUCUGAUCAAGGGAAAAAAAAUACAGUAAAACUUCAGAACGUGGAUUCUAUGGAAAUAGACAAGUGAGUAACACCAAGGAGGUACCGUAUUCUGAAUAGUAUUUCCAAAGCUGCUGUAGCAAACCUCCUUCAACUGAACCUGUAAAACAACUUACCCAGAAUCCUCUUUUAUAGUUAUACCCCAAGGUAAAAUCCAAGCUAUCUUGGAGUUCUCAUAAAAACAAAUGUUUAUGGUGACAGAAAUCAUUGUUUACCCAGAGUCUGAAAAUACUUUCAAAUAAGGCAGAAUAUUUCUUUUGAGUAGAUUCACCCCAUCUCUCUUGCAGGCUGAAUUAUUCAUACCAGUGCUGUUCAUUUAGAAAGCUAUGGUCCCGUCCCCCAAAUUUCAAAACAAACAUUUAAUGUUGAAUGUAAGAUACUAGAAAACUAAUCAAAUUUCAUACAUUCUA
Molecule: long non-coding RNA, 1973 nt
Organism: Sphaerodactylus townsendi
Lineage: Eukaryota; Metazoa; Chordata; Lepidosauria; Squamata; Sphaerodactylidae
Exons: 3
Source: RefSeq, a predicted model, not a curated record